RNAcentral lists this unclassified non-coding RNA (516 nucleotides) under Homo sapiens (human). RNAcentral describes it as "scribble planar cell polarity protein (ENSG00000274287.4)". The record is from RNAcentral. Lineage: Eukaryota; Metazoa; Chordata; Mammalia; Primates; Hominidae.
GGCUGUCCUGUCUGCUCCCAUCUCUCCUGCAAAGCUCCAGCCAGCACACUGCCAUGGAGACAGCAGCUGCCCAGCCCAGGCCCCCGCAUCCUGUGGGAACGGGGACGAGCCCCUCCGUGCUGACCGAGUGUCUGGGGCAUCCCCUGGGCUAUAGUCAGGUACCGUCUGGAGCAGCUGGAGGGAAGAUGGCUGAAUCUCCCUGCUCCCCUAGUGGCCAGCAGCCGCCCUCCCCGCCUUCUCCGGAUGAGCUGCCCGCCAAUGUGAAGCAGGCCUACAGGGCCUUCGCGGCCGUGCCCACUUCUCACCCGCCUGAGGAUGCCCCUGCCCAGCCCCCCACGCCUGGGCCUGCAGCCUCCCCGGAGCAGCUGUCCUUCCGGGAGCGGCAGAAGUACUUUGAGCUGGAGGUGCGCGUGCCCCAGGCCGAGGGCCCCCCUAAGCGCGUGUCCCUGGUGGGUGCUGACGACCUGCGGAAGAUGCAGGAGGAGGAAGCCAGAAAACUACAGCAGAAGAGAGCGC